RNAcentral lists this ribosomal RNA (470 nucleotides) under uncultured bacterium. RNAcentral describes it as "bacterial SSU rRNA". It matches the Rfam family "Bacterial small subunit ribosomal RNA", at positions 328 to 790 of the family's 1533-position model. The record is from RNAcentral.
UCACCAGACUCCUACGGGAGGCAGCAGUGGGGAAUAUUGCACAAUGGGGGAAACCCUGACGCAGCGACGCCGCGUGAGGGAUGAAGGUCUUCGGAUCGUAAACCUCUGUCAGCAGGGAAGAACAGUCACUGUGCUAAUCAGCAGUGAAUUGACGGUACCUGCAAAGGAAGCACCGGCUAACUCCGUGCCAGCAGCCGCGGUAAUACGGAGGGUGCGAGCGUUAUCCGGAUUCACUGGGUGUAAAGGGAGCGUAGACGGCCAUGCAAGCCAGGGGUGAAAGCCCGGGGCCCAACCCCGGGACUGCCCUUGGAACUGCAUGGCUGGAGUGCGGGAGGGGAAGGCGGAAUUCCUGGUGUAGCGGUGAAAUGCGUAGAUAUCGGGAGGAACACCGGGGGCGAAGGGGGCCUGCUGGGCCGCGCCUGACGUUGAGGCUCGAAAGCGUGGGGAGCGAACAGGAUUAGAUACCCGAG